This is a long non-coding RNA of Suricata suricatta (meerkat), 1729 nucleotides long. RefSeq lists it as uncharacterized. The record is from RefSeq and is a predicted model, not a curated record. NCBI's taxonomy places the organism in Eukaryota, Metazoa, Chordata, Mammalia, Carnivora, Herpestidae. The transcript has 3 exons.
UCUACAAUGCAAGCUAAAGUUCUUACAAGAAGCUCAGUGGUGCCAUAAUCCUCUAUGUCUCCCAGGUUCAACCUCUCUGGAAGUGGUUCUUAGCCAGAGGUAAUUGUGCCCACCAGAGCACAUAUGCAACGUGAGGAAACACUUUUGAUUGUCACAACUAGGGGGAGGAGGGCUACUGGUAUCUAGUAGAUAUAAACUUGGAUUCUGCUAACCAUCUUAUGGUGCAUGGGACAGACUCCAGCAGCAAAUAACUUACCAGCUCAAAACAUGAAAGGUGCCGAGACUCACAAACCAUGCUCUUUGGUGACCUUGAGGCUUCCUCCCAAGUGGUAGAAAUUAACUAUUCUUAUUAGAACUACCAUCCAAGAGUGGACAUACAUUGUUUCAUGGAAAUACCACUAAGGGAAUGAGAGUUUGUGAAAAAUGGAUGAGGAAAGAAAUCCAGAUUUAAAGAAAGUAAGAAAGGUCUGAAGGUAAAUGGGAUGGAGGGCAGAGGAGAGCCAAAGACGAGCAAGGACAAGUCUGGGAAGGCCAGCUUUGUCUAGUUCAUAACUACAUCUAAUGUGGGUUCUGGCUGCAAAUGGUGGUUUGGAAGCCUAGAACUGAAGAGGCGCAGAUGAUGACUAAUUAGCAAGGAUACUGCAGAAGAGCAUCCCACUAACCACCUGUGGCUUGGCUAAGCAAUCUAGUAAGAGAUAUCUAUGACAUUUUCAGAGACUUUUAAGUCUCUGUAGGUAAUGCAAUGCCCACUUCAGUCUAACCUCCUGAACCAGCAGCAGAGGCCCACUGGCUGCAGAUCAGUGGCUCAGUCAGCUGAGAGUUAAUGCCUCACACUCUGCAGAUAGAGUGGUGAGGAGGGGAGGAGGCAAAGCAGGAAGAAGCAAGUUAGAUGCAAAGAGCCAGACACUGCCUCUUACCAUAGUCCCUACAUAAACCCUUCUUAAGAAAGCAUCUCUCCCUCCAAAAGAUGAGCAUACUUAUCAAACCAUCAAUUAAGAGGGGGGUGGGGGAAAGAAGGAAAAAAUAAAGGAAAAUCUCCCUUCCUGAAAUGUGCUUUAAGUUUGGGGACUCAGAUUUAAAACUGUAUCCCUGGACUAAGUUCAAAUCUAGCCAAAGAUGAUGUUUCCAUUCAAAAGUUUCAACCUGCUGGAGAAAGAAGUUCUUACUUCAGAAACUCAAAUGCACUGAUUAAAAGUGAGUGCCACAAACACACACUCCAAUAUCAUCAAGAGAGAGUCAGAACCCACACCAGAGUUAACAGGAAACUCGGUGGAGGAGAGUCAGAGUCACCACUGAAACAAAAGCCCUGGCUCUGAAUGCCAGCUCAGCAGGCAGCGCUCGCCUUUUCAAUGGGACUCACUCUUUGAUGUGUGUUUUUUCACGGCAACUUUCAUGUGGUGAUGGAAGAAGCUAAGAGCAAGGUGGUAGCAUUAUGUGAAGACCAAUGCUUUCAAAUGCCCUUUGCCCUUCAACAGCACCAGGCAGACAAAGAAGAACCACAUAGCCCGGAGAAGCCUACCUGUUUUUUAAAGAAUAUCUGUGCUAGCAGAAUCUAAAAGGGUGAGAAGGAGCACGCUCUUCAAUGGCAGAAAAAAAUUUGGUGGGGUCACUUAGAGAGAUAGAUUUGGCUUAAAAUAGGAGUUCACUUGCAGCUUCACUUGGAUCAUAACCCAAAUUAAAAUUAUUUGUGUCCAAUUAGCUUAAAAUAAAAUGUCCCGGUGUGUGGCAA